This 289-nucleotide long non-coding RNA is filed under the name Rhinopithecus bieti (black snub-nosed monkey). RNAcentral's name for it is "lncRNA (ENSRBIG00000046667.1)". Lineage: Eukaryota; Metazoa; Chordata; Mammalia; Primates; Cercopithecidae. The record is from RNAcentral.
ACUCCUGUUUUAACCAGCAUGAUUUCCAGCAGUUCUAAUACAUGUUUUUUUUUUUUUAAGAAAAAAAUUCACCCUGACAACAAACAGUUGCUUCUAUCAUUUCUGCCAUCAAAUAGUAAAGAUCUGACAGCUCUUCAGAUGCCAGCAAUCAGGAUUUGCAGUACAGAUGAAGACUGUGGAACACUUAUUUUAAUGGGCUAGAAGACUUCCUGGCAUGUUUUGAGUAAAUUGUGCUACUGUCAUGCAGAACUGGAUUAAUGUCUGUCUUAUAAAUAAGACCCACAUGGUA